GCAGUUUUUGUGAUGAAAUAAUAGUUCAGCUGAUUUUUGUGCUGAUUCAUUUGUCUUUCGCUCCUAUCUGAAAAAUUGC
This is a small nucleolar RNA of Uloborus diversus, 79 nucleotides long. RefSeq annotates it as small nucleolar RNA snR60/Z15/Z230/Z193/J17. NCBI's taxonomy places the organism in Eukaryota, Metazoa, Arthropoda, Arachnida, Araneae, Uloboridae. The record is from RefSeq and is a predicted model, not a curated record. The transcript has a single exon.